Molecule: ribosomal RNA, 409 nt
Filed under: bacterium
Lineage: Bacteria
Description: partial 16S ribosomal RNA
Rfam family: Bacterial small subunit ribosomal RNA
Source: RNAcentral
UGGGGAAUAUUGCACAAUGGGCGAAAGCCUGAUGCAGCGACGCCGCGUGAGGGAUGACGGCCUUCGGGUUGUAAACCUCUUUCAGCAGGGACGAAGCGCAAGUGACGGUACCUGCAGAAGAAGCACCGGCUAACUACGUGCCAGCAGCCGCGGUAAUACGUAGGGUGCAAGCGUUGUCCGGAAUUACUGGGCGUAAAGAGUUCGUAGGCGGUUUGUCGCGUCGUUUGUGAAAACCAGCAGCUCAACUGCUGGCUUGCAGGCGAUACGGGCAGACUUGAGUACUGCAGUGGAGACUGGAAUUCCUGGUGUAGCGGUGAAAUGCGCAGAUAUCAGGAGGAACACCGGUGGCGAAGGCGGGUCUCUGGGCAGUAACUGACGCUGAGGAACGAAAGCGUGGGUAGCGAACAGG